UUCGGCCCUGAUUAGAGUGGCGCACGGGUGAGUAGCGCGUGGGUAAUCUGCCCUUGGGCGGGGAUAACCUUCCGAAAGGGGGGCUAAUACCGCAUAAGACCACAGCUCUGCGGAGCCGUGGGAAAAGAUGGGGAUCUUCGGACCUGUCACCUGGGGAUGAGCCCGCGUACCAUUAGGUAGUUGGUGAGGUAACGGCUCACCAAGCCGAUGAUGGUUAGCUGGUCUGAGAGGAUGAUCAGCCACACUGGGACUGAGACACGGCCCAGACUCU
This 271-nucleotide ribosomal RNA is filed under the name uncultured bacterium. Its description in RNAcentral is "partial 16S ribosomal RNA". It matches the Rfam family "Bacterial small subunit ribosomal RNA", at positions 79 to 339 of the family's 1533-position model. The record is from RNAcentral.